AACGAACGUUGGCGGCGUGGAUUAGGCAUGCAAGUCGAACGAAUGCCAGUUUGGUAGUAAUACCGAGCUGGCGGAAGUGGCGAAAGGGGCAGUAAUGCAUGGGUAACCUACCUUGGGGAUGGGCAUAGCCGUUCUAACGGACGGGUAAUUCCCAGAGAUUCGACGGGAGGGCAUCCUUCUGUCGGGAAAUGAAUUUCGCCUCGAGAGGGGCCCAUGUGCUAUUAGCUAGUUGGUAGGGUAACGGCCUACCAAGGCUAAGAUGGCUAGCGGGUGUGAGAGCACGACCCGCGCCACUGGCACUGAGACACUGGCCAGACACCUACGGGUGGCUG
Molecule: ribosomal RNA, 332 nt
Filed under: uncultured Planctomycetota bacterium
Lineage: Bacteria; Pseudomonadati; Planctomycetota
Description: bacterial SSU rRNA
Rfam family: Bacterial small subunit ribosomal RNA
Source: RNAcentral